RNAcentral lists this ribosomal RNA (375 nucleotides) under uncultured organism. RNAcentral describes it as "partial 16S ribosomal RNA". It matches the Rfam family "Bacterial small subunit ribosomal RNA", at positions 526 to 896 of the family's 1533-position model. The record is from RNAcentral.
GGAGGGGGGCUAGCGUUGUUCGGAAUUAUUGGGCGUAAAGGGCGCGUAGGCGGCCCGGCAAGUCAGUCGUGAAAGCCCUCGGGCUCAACCGAGGAAUUGCGAUUGAAACUGCCGGGCUUGAGUCCCUGGAGAGGGUAGCGGAAUUCCCAGUGUAGCGGUGAAAUGCGUAGAUAUUGGGAGGAACACCUGUGGCGAAGGCGGCUACCUGGACAGGUACUGACGCUGAGGCGCGAAAGCGUGGGGAGCAAACAGGAUUAGAUACCCUGGUAGUCCACGCUGUAAACGAUGGGCACUUAGUGUUGCGGGUACCGACCCCUGCAGUGCCGAAGCUAACGCAUUAAGUGCCCCGCCUGGGGAGUACGGUCGCAAAGGCUG